Molecule: ribosomal RNA, 253 nt
Filed under: uncultured bacterium
Lineage: Bacteria
Description: partial 16S ribosomal RNA
Rfam family: Bacterial small subunit ribosomal RNA
Source: RNAcentral
UACGGGGGGGGCAAGCGUUGUUCGGAAUUACUGGGCGUAAAGGGCUCGUAGGUGGCCAACUAAGUCAUACGUGAAAUCCCUCAGCUUAACUGGGGAACUGCGCCUGAUACUGGUUGGCUUGAGUUUGGGAGAGGGACGCGGAAUUCCAGGUGUAGCGGUGAGAUGCGUAGAUAUCUGGAGGAACACCGGUGGCGAAGGCGGCGUCCUGGACCAAUACUGACACUGAGGAGCGAAAGCCAGGGGAGCAAACGGG